This 359-nucleotide long non-coding RNA is filed under the name Pan troglodytes (chimpanzee). RNAcentral describes it as "long non-coding RNA NONPTRT014899". The record is from RNAcentral. Lineage: Eukaryota; Metazoa; Chordata; Mammalia; Primates; Hominidae.
GGUGUGUUCAGGAUAACGACUGUAUUUGAGUGAUUUUAGUUUAGCCUCUGCCUCCUGGGUUCAAACAGUUCUCCUCCCUCAGCCUCCCGAGUAGCUGGGAUUACAGGCGCCAGCCACCACGCCCGGCUAAUUUUUGUAUUUUUAACAGGCGUGAGCCACCAAGCUCUAAACUGUUUAUUACUGUGCUUUAGCAGUAACAGUGUUUGAAAAUCUGUGAUGAAUUUUUAAAAAAUAUAUUGCGGAAGUGAUUUAUCUAAAAUUCUUACAAUUAGCAAGAAAAGGACUGCACUUAAUGUUUUCGUCUUCAGUUUCUUGAUGCGGAAACUCUACUUUGAAAAUCCAGCAAUCCUAUCACGUCU